GCCUGGGUGGCUCAGUCGGUUGAGCGUCCGACUUCGGCUCAGGUCAUGAUCUCGCGGUCCGCGAGUUCGAGCCCCGCGUCGGGCU
Felis catus (domestic cat) is the source of this 85-nucleotide non-coding RNA. Lineage: Eukaryota; Metazoa; Chordata; Mammalia; Carnivora; Felidae. The record is from Rfam.